AUCUGUUUAUGGUAUUAUUACUGCCUAGAUAUAUAUUGUAAUCUGUUUACACUUAUUCUACAUUUUUGUUUUUACAUAAUUUUGUUUAUAUUUAUUUUACUAAAUAAUUGGGAUUUAAUAUAACGACUACAGAGGACUCCGAAGAAGAAUGUCAGUAAUUAUGUUUGUGAAUAGUUUUGUUUCUCUUCGGAUUUAACUUUUCUUUGUUUUUUAUAUAGUAAAGAAUAACAAAAAGUCUAAUAUUAACUAUUGGUCAAAGCUGAUUUCAAUAAUACUGUCUAAAUUUUUUGACUUGUGGUAGUUUGAUUACCAGUAUAAAUUUAUUUAGUAAAGUUCUGGUGGAUCAAAGGCCGAGGAAUGAUUUGCUUUUAACUGGUUUGCAUCUUAUGAACGAAGUACAUAAUAUGAUUUGAAUUGAUGAUUUAUAGUUACACCUAUUGAAACUCUGUAUCUCAAUGAUAUCCUGGCUUAUUGAUACGAUAUCCUGUAAAUUCACUCACACGCAUAAAUUUUACUCACACACGUAAAUCCUGUAAAUUCACACACACACAAAUCUUAAAAAAGAUGUUUAUUUUUUUAUCUAUAAAUUGUAAAUUUUAUAUAAAUAAAUUGUAUAUUUUUUAUGUUUUUCAUUGUAUAUUACUAUUUGUAUUAAAAUCGACAUUGGAAAUAUUGCAAGUGCAGAGUUCAACAUA
Molecule: non-coding RNA, 695 nt
Organism: Hydra vulgaris (swiftwater hydra)
Lineage: Eukaryota; Metazoa; Cnidaria; Hydrozoa; Anthoathecata; Hydridae
Source: RefSeq, a predicted model, not a curated record